This 163-nucleotide ribosomal RNA is filed under the name uncultured bacterium. RNAcentral's name for it is "partial 16S ribosomal RNA". It matches the Rfam family "Bacterial small subunit ribosomal RNA", at positions 349 to 509 of the family's 1533-position model. The record is from RNAcentral.
CAGCAGUGAGGAAUAUUGGUCAAUGGACGAGAGUCUGAACCAGCCAAGUAGCGUGAAGGAUGACUGCCCUAUGGGUUGUAAACUUCUUUUAUAUGGGAAUAAAACGUUCCACGUGUGGGAUUUUGUAUGUACCAUAUGAAUAAGGAUCGGCUAACUCCGUGCC